GACGAACGCUGGCGGCGUGCCUAAUACAUGCAAGUAGAACGCACAGUUUAUACCGUAGCUUGCUACACCAUAGACUGUGAGUUGCGAACGGGUGAGUAACGCGUAGGUAACCUGCCUGGUAGCGGGGGAUAACUAUUGGAAACGAUAGCUAAUACCGCAUAAUAUUAAUUAUUGCAUGAUAAUUAAUUGAACGGUGCAAUUGCACCACUACCAGAUGGACCUGCGUUGUAUUAGCUAGUAGGUGAGGUAACGGCUCACCUAGGCGACGAUACAUAGCCGACCUGAGAGGGUGAUCGGCCACACUGGGACUGAGACACGGCCCAGACUCCUACGGGAGGCAGCAGUAGGGAAUCUUCGGCAAUAGACGAAAGUCUGACCGAGCAACGCCGCGUGAGUGAAGAAGGUUUUCGGAUCGUAAAGCUCUGUUGUAAGAGAAGAACGGGUGUGAGAGUGGAAAGUUCGCACUGUGACGGUAUCUUACCAGAAAGGGACGGCUAACUACGUG
Molecule: ribosomal RNA, 505 nt
Filed under: uncultured bacterium
Lineage: Bacteria
Description: partial 16S ribosomal RNA
Rfam family: Bacterial small subunit ribosomal RNA
Source: RNAcentral